GGUGCCCAGAUCUGCUGGCUCUGGGAUGAGCCCCACUUUGCUUCCGUAUCCCCCUAUCCAACCAGGCUCCUCCUAGAGCCUGUCUUCUGUGGGUGACCACCUCCCCCUGCCAGCCCUCCUACGGGCCUCCUUCCAACCUCAGAACGCCCACACACACAUCCGUGGUGGGCUGAGGACCCUGGUCAGGCCUUUCUCCCCUCCCCCCUACCUGGCCCCUUGCUCACUCCUGGAGCCAUUUGGCUGAUGGUCAGAACUGUCCGUCAAGGGGACUCUGAGCCCCUGGGGACCCAGAUGGGAGGAGGGAGGGGGAGAGGUCGGGGGUCAGGCCUCGUCCCCUCAGCUGGUCUCUUUCCCCUCCCCCUUCCUAACAAAGGGAGCAUUGGCCUGAUGCUGGCGGGAUGGCCUGGUACUUAGGGAAGCGGGGAGGAGAGGGGCUGUGGGGAUGGCCAUGGGCAGGAGGUGGGGGUGGGGGCCGCCUGCCCCUCCUCUGCCCUCCCCCUCGGGUCAAGGCUAAGGUGAUUCCUCAACCUCUCGGAGGCUGGGUUGGGAGGAGAAGGGGAUCUGGACAGACAAAGAACAAGAGCCCUGGGGAGCUGGGGGCUGGGGGGAUGCACCUGGGACCCAGGCAGUCCUGGCUGAGGGAGGGGCAGCAGGCACCCCUCUGGCCCUGCUCUCACCCUCUGGAUGGCCCUGCCCCCUAUCUGCACCAAUCCCUAUGGAUCCCAGAGCCAUACAGACCUUCCAGCUUGGGCAGGGUUGGAUGGGAGUGGGGGGAAAUUGAGGCCCAGAGAGGGGAGACAGCCCAGGCCCAGGGUUCUCAACACUGUCCCAGAGACUCUCCCCUCACUUCUCUUCCCACUAAGGGAAGGCUUCUUCCUUUCCUGCCUUCCCCACCCAGGUCAGGGGAGGUUUAGUGGGGGCAGAUGGUAGAAGGUUCUAUGGAGAGGGAAGAGGAGGCUGAGAAAAAAAGUGAGGCUAAGUGUUCUCCUCACUUAGACCAGUGGGGAGGGGAGGCAGCCAGAAGAAAAAGAGUUUAAAUGUGACCUCUAACACUGGCCUGGCACAGCUGUGGGAAGAAACUUAACAUCUGUUGGAAAGGGCAGGAAACCAACAUAGACAGGGUGCUCCUGAGUACCUGGCUAGCAGUGGCUGGGGAAGAGGACUUCAGACAGUUUUCCCCUUUUGCCCAUGGCCACAGUGAAGGAGGAGGAUUCACACUCUGGUCAGUCACAAGCCACCCAUGACAUUUCAUUAGAGCCUCCCACCUACCCAGUCUGACCAUAGGGGACAAAAGGUAGCUGAGGCAAUGAACAGCCAUGAACCCCCAUGCCCACAGGGAUAAGGAGCCUCCAAAGAAACAGAAAGAAACGGGCAGAUCUUUUAUGCUUUAAAUUCUCCUAUGAAGGCUGAGGUGGCUCUUAGAGAGAGGGCCACAGCCAAGAAGAGGGGGAGGAUAAGGCAGGCCUCUUUUGCGGGGGUGGGAUAGGCUCACACAUGACCCCACAGCCUACCAAGGAGGACCCAGAUGGGCAGAGGACUAUAGGGGUCCUGGCUGCCCUCCCCCAAACCUCCCCUCCCUUCUCUCCCUCUCUCUUUCUCAGCUGGCUAUCGACCGAGGCUGUGACAUGGUGGAUCAAUACGGCAGGGAUAUAAAGCCGGCUGGCUGGCUGCCUGCCUCUGCCUCUCUCUCUCUCUCCCUUGCUUGCCUUGCUUCCUUUUCCAGGAGCCGCACCCAGGUCCCCCACCGUAAUGUACCCCUUACCCAGGCCUCUGAGAGGCCAGGCACCCCCUACCACUUCCCUACAGCGGGAGAGCUUAGGGAGGCUGAGAGCUUGGACAGCCAGGAGAGGGGGCCUGAUCUCUGGAUCUCCCUGAUCUGCAGAUCUCAGUGUGGCUCUCUCUGGAGACAAAAGCUAAGACUCAACCCACAGGCAACACUAAAUACACAGCUCCAGCUCAGAGAAAAAGGAGGUGACCAGGGAGGAAUGGAGAGGCCAAGACACAUAAUGAAGACCAGGAAAAGGAAGAAAGAUGAUGCUGCGGCUGGAGCCAAAAGGAGAGGAAGAGGAAAGAAAGGAAAGCCAGGAGCGGAGACCCAGCAGGGCAUUGUGAGCACAACAACCGUGGGGUGGGAGUGGGGCGGGCAUCGAGAUUUCUAAUAAGUGCAGCUGAAAACAUCCAGGGUCAUUCUCUGAGGCCUUCUCUCUGCCUACCAGUCCUCACCAGUGCUUCGAAGAGCCCUGCGGAAUGUCUCUCUAUUUGAAGUCAGAGCCAAGUGCCUGCUCUUGGCACCUGGGGCUCCAUGCCUACUAGGAUGGUUGGCACUUGACCUUCAUUUGCUAUGGGACUGUCAGGGAUUCCAGGGACCCACUGGUCCUCAAACUAGCUCAGAGUUCAAGCCAUUUUUACCUCCUACACAUCUGUAAUUCCCACCCCAUGGCUGACAAAUAUUCCCAGUCCACAGCUAUCUCCACCCACCCAGUGACAGAGCACAGGCAGCCAAAAGGAUCAAGCAAUCUCUUGCCACCUCCCAGCAACCCAUAAUGGUGAACAGCCCCUCAAAUCUGGACUCCACAUUCAGCGAGGAGUGGCCCUGCCCACCGCCCAGAUCACACAGCUGCAAUUUACAGACCACCCUAUGGGUCCCACCCCACAGCCAUAGCCCACCAGUAUCCAAGGGCUGCCUCUACACUGAAGCUCCGUCCCAGCCCAGCCCAUCUUUCAAGCCACAUAUGGAACAGCACACACCCUAUUCCUCUAGCCAAAGCCCUCCAGGUGCAAUUCAGAAGGAAGUAGACUAGGCCUGGGGCAUGUGGACAAGUCCCUGAUGCCACCCCCUGGCUUCUCCAGCUUGUCUGUGGAACCUGACUGCCCUGAAGGGCCAAACCUCUGAUCCCAGGUCAGCCCUCCAUCACACCUAUACUCUUGCCUGUGAGAGAACGUCCCCAUGUGCGGCUAAACAUCCUCCUUAUGCAGCCCUGGGUUCUGUUCCUUCCAUGUCACCUCACAGACCCAGGAUGGAAGCCUUUCACCUAGACUGAAGCUUCUGCUUCUGAAGCAUUCAGGACUCUCUCGGAGUGUGUGAGCACCCUGGGGCACAUCCCUGCUGCUUAUGUCUGAGUUACCUCUGAGUUCCCAGGACCACUCCACAUCGAAGGCCAUUGUGUCUUUUUGCGGAAAGAUGGAAGGACAGAGGGGAAAGAAAGACAAAGUGGUACCAUGGCCCUGCUCCUGCCCUGGCACUUGGAAGGCACCAGAUACCCAGGGGACUAUAGCUGGCUGUGAGGACUCUGAGGCCAGGUCAGCAUCCAUGGUCCCCAAUAGUGAGUAAGAGUCCAGUUAGCCCACACCCCUUCCCAUCUACCCAAAAUGUAACUUAGCCCUCGGCUUCUCCUUACCUUUCAGGAGUUCUCCCCUUACCCCCAAAGAAUUCCUGAGGUCCCCCUAGGCCGGUAAGUCUGUCUCUCCCCUAACCCAGCACCCUGCAGCCCCUGGUUCAGGUUGGUGGCAUCUGUGCCCAAGCCCCCACCAGCGUGAAAGCCCCUCAAAGGCCACACAGAUCUCCCACUUCUCUGCAUCUCCAGAUGUUGGUACAAGGCCUAGCACACAAGGAAUCCCAGAAAAUGUUGGCUGAAGGAAUAAAUGGAUGGAUCUGGGUU
Sapajus apella (tufted capuchin) is the source of this 3659-nucleotide long non-coding RNA. RefSeq lists it as uncharacterized. The record is from RefSeq and is a predicted model, not a curated record. The transcript is spliced from 2 exons. Lineage: Eukaryota; Metazoa; Chordata; Mammalia; Primates; Cebidae.